This 202-nucleotide ribosomal RNA is filed under the name uncultured bacterium. RNAcentral describes it as "partial 16S ribosomal RNA". It matches the Rfam family "Bacterial small subunit ribosomal RNA", at positions 524 to 717 of the family's 1533-position model. The record is from RNAcentral.
UACGUAGGGUGCAAGCGUUGUCCGGAAUUAUUGGGCGUAAAAGAGCUCGUAGGCGGUUUGUUGCGUCGGCUGUGAAAAUCCCCGAGGCUCAACCUCGGGUCUGCAGUCGAUACGAGCAAAACUAGAGUGUUUGCAGGGGGAGACUGGAAUUCCUGGUGUAGCGGUGAAAUGCGCAGAUAUCAGGGAGGGAAACACCCGGGUG